RNAcentral lists this long non-coding RNA (381 nucleotides) under Dermacentor andersoni. Its description in RNAcentral is "uncharacterized LOC126540432". The record is from RNAcentral. Lineage: Eukaryota; Metazoa; Arthropoda; Arachnida; Ixodida; Ixodidae.
AAAGAACAUCACGUUCCACUUCACGAAGGAAGACGCACCUGACAAGGCAUCCGUCACUGUCGAUGACGAUGACGGUCAAAAGCAGGAAGCUAGAGCCAUCUAUGCCGACUACCAGACCUGCGCCGUGUUGGAGAUUCCUUAUAAUGGAAAUCCACAGUGCAUUCUGUGGACUACGGACGAAGCCAAAGACAAUGUCUCAAGUAAAUGUACUGAGCAAUUCCGAAAGAACUGCGACGUAGAAGUUAUCGCUUACGAUAAGGAGUCCUGCAGUCAAGUAUAAUGGGACGGACCGCGUGAAAAAAACUGCUUCUUUAGUAUAAUACCUAUUGCUUGUGUAUUUGUAUAGUCCGCAGAAAAUAAAACGCUAAAAAAUAUCUGGAG